Acanthosepion pharaonis is the source of this 114-nucleotide non-coding RNA. NCBI's taxonomy places the organism in Eukaryota, Metazoa, Mollusca, Cephalopoda, Sepiida, Sepiidae. The record is from the annotation of a GenBank genome assembly.
UUAUGGCCAUAUCAUGUUGAAACAUUGGUUCUCAUCUGAUCAACAAAGUUAAGCAAUGUUGAGCCUGGUCAGUACAUAGAUGGGUGACCACUUUGGAAUACUAAGUACUGUAAG